CCUACGGGUGGCAGCAGUGAGGAAUAUUGGUCAAUGGACGGAAGUCUGAACCAGCCAUGCCGCGUGCAGGAAGACGGCUCUAUAAGUUGUAAACUGCUUUUGUACAAGGGUAAACCUGAAUACGUGUAUACAGCUGAAAGUACUGUACGAAUAAGGAUCGGCUAACUCCGUGCCAGCAGCCGCGGUAAUACGGAGGAUCCAAGCGUUAUCCGGAUUGAUUGGGUUUAAAGGGUGCGUAGGCGGAUUGAUAAGUUAGAGGUGAAAUGUCCGAGCUUAACUCGGGAACUGCCUCUAAUACUGUUGAUCUAGAGAGUGGAUGCGGUAGGCGGAAUGUAUGGUGUAGCGGUGAAAUGCUUAGAGAUCAUACAGAACACCGAUUGCGAAGGCGGCUUACCAAUCUAUAUCUGACGUUGAGGCACGAAAGCGUGGGGAGCAAACAGGAUUAGAUACCCGAGUAGUC
RNAcentral lists this ribosomal RNA (460 nucleotides) under uncultured bacterium. RNAcentral's name for it is "partial 16S ribosomal RNA". It matches the Rfam family "Bacterial small subunit ribosomal RNA", at positions 338 to 795 of the family's 1533-position model. The record is from RNAcentral.